Molecule: ribosomal RNA, 253 nt
Filed under: uncultured bacterium
Lineage: Bacteria
Description: partial 16S ribosomal RNA
Rfam family: Bacterial small subunit ribosomal RNA
Source: RNAcentral
UACGGAGGGUGCAAGCGUUGUCCGGAUUUAUUGGGUGUAAAGGGUGCGUAGGCGGGCUUGUAAGUCUGGGGUGAAAUCUUGCCGCUUAACGGCAAAACUGCCUUGGAUACUGCAAGUCUUGAGUGUGAGAGAGGUCGGUGGAAUUCGUGGUGUAGCGGUGAAAUGCUUAGAUAUCACGAAGAACACCUGUGGUGAAGACGGCCGGCUGGAUCACAACUGACGCUGAGGCACGAGAGCGUGGGGAGCAAACAGG